AUGUGCCCACUAUGCGACCAGGCGGCGGAAACUGCGGACCAUCUUGCCUUGGGAUGCGUCUACGCUAGGGAGGUGUGGCAUUCGAAGCUUACUCAUUGCGGGCUAGGCCAUCUCGUUCCGACACCUAACGACUCACUCAUCGAAUGGUGGCCGGGUAGUCGUGAUCUAAUUCCUCCUGCGCAUCGUAAGGGUUUCGACUCUGUGGCCAUCCUCACUGUGUGGAUGUUGUGGAAGGAGCGCAACAACCGCGUCUUCCAACGCUCAGCGGUCGUGGCUCGGGAGCUUUGUUGGCGUAUCGAAGAGGAAGCCAGGCUGUGGAAGAUCUCUGGAGCAAAAGGGAUGGCUCAUAUUUGGAGAUAG
RNAcentral lists this ribosomal RNA (360 nucleotides) under Triticum aestivum (bread wheat). RNAcentral's name for it is "partial small subunit ribosomal RNA". Lineage: Eukaryota; Viridiplantae; Streptophyta; Magnoliopsida; Poales; Poaceae. The record is from RNAcentral.